GAUGAACGCUGGCGGCGUGCCUAAUACAUGCAAGUCGAGCGAACGGACGAGAAGCUUGCUUUUCUGAUGUUAGCGGCGGACGGGUGAGUAACACGUGGAUAACCUACCUAUAAGACUGGGAUAACUUCGGGAAACCGGAGCUAAUACCGGAUAAUAUUUUGAACCGCAUGGUUCAAAAGUGAAAGACGGUCUUGCUGUCACUUAUAGAUGGAUCCGCGCUGCAUUAGCUAUUUGGUAAGGUAACGUCUUAACAAGGCAACGAUGCAUAGCCGACCUGAGAGAUGGAGCUACCACUGUGGACCGGAAUCAGGCUGCAGAUGACUACGGGAAGCAGCAGGAGUCAAUCACCGACAAUGUGCGAGAUCCAGACGCAGCAACCUCGAGUGAGCGAUGAAGAUCUUCGAAUCGUAACACUCUGUUAUUAGGGAAGAACAUAUGUGUAAGUAACUGUGCACAGCUUGACGGUACCUAAUCAGAAAGCCACGGCUAACUACGUG
This 497-nucleotide ribosomal RNA is filed under the name uncultured bacterium. Its description in RNAcentral is "partial 16S ribosomal RNA". It matches the Rfam family "Bacterial small subunit ribosomal RNA", at positions 28 to 507 of the family's 1533-position model. The record is from RNAcentral.